Molecule: ribosomal RNA, 170 nt
Filed under: uncultured bacterium
Lineage: Bacteria
Description: partial 16S ribosomal RNA
Rfam family: Bacterial small subunit ribosomal RNA
Source: RNAcentral
CCUACGGGAGGCAGCAGUGGGGAAUAGUUGCACAAUGGGGGAAACCCUGAUGCAGCGACGCCGUGUGAGUGAAGAAGUAUUUCGGUAUGUAAAGCUCUAUCAGCAGGGAAGAAAGUGACGGUACCUGAGUAAGAAGCCCCGGCUAACUACGUGCCAGCAGCCGCGGUAAU